Molecule: long non-coding RNA, 2919 nt
Organism: Daphnia magna
Lineage: Eukaryota; Metazoa; Arthropoda; Branchiopoda; Diplostraca; Daphniidae
Exons: 9
Source: RefSeq, a predicted model, not a curated record
UAAAUCGCUUGUUGCUGUUGAUUGUGAUGCUGUUGCAACGGAGUCAACAAGGGCAUCGACUGAAUCGAGCGCAAUGUCCCACUAGUUCCUGGCCGGCUGGUCUGCAUUCUAAAUGAAUCGAGAGAAGAAGACACAAAAAAACGUUUUGCACGGUCCAGUGAAUUAUCCAUCGGUUGGUUGCAUAGAUAAAGAAAGAAAAAAAAACAGACCCCCUCUGCUUUCAGAAAAAUCAUGGCCGCCAAAUGGAGUCGACUGGGAGUUCUCUUUUAUAAACUACACGCAAUACAACCGCAUAAUAACUGGAAAAGGGAAAAAUCCAGUACAUUCGGAAGAACGAUGUUAACAAGGAAAAAGAAAAAGGAAAGAAAAGAGUUGCGUGUGCAAAGUACCUCUCGGCGUCUGUUUCCGUUUCGCUGCUCGAGCCGGUCGUUGUUUCUUGGCUGGAACGCGAUGGACGAGCGGACGAGUUGCGGUUACCUGGUCUGCCCCCACCAGCGCCUUCCGCUGCUGGCGUUAUUCCGGUGUGGUUGCUAGUUCCUGUCGAGGAUGAAGUCGAUGCUUUCUUGCCAGCACCACCUCGGGCGGCUGGAACACUGGCGUGCAUCCUCUUGCCCGUCUGUUGGCCGCUCUCAGACUGUCGCUGCCCUCUUCCAUCUUCCAUCGCGGCAGACCGAGCUGACCGUGAACCCAAACUCGGGUGAGAAAAACGAUCGGAGCUCGAUGACGGUACACCUUCUGUCAUCACAAAAUCACAAGGCGCAUCUUCUUGAAAAUUUUUUUUGUGUUCUUCUACAUGCUGGACACACCGUCAUCAUCAUCUGGCCGGGAGGUAAACCCUCAGCUUUAAAUUUAAAAAAAACGUUGUAACCAAAAAAAGAAAAUUUACAUAUUUUUGCUCUUUGCUCUGAUGGCACCGAAGCAAAGAAAAAAAAAAAGAUAAGAAAAUGGACAUGGCAAGGAAAUUAAUUUUUGGGGGUUUGGAGGGGUUGGUCAAAUAUACCGCCCACUCUGCCCCCAGUCUGAAAUGUGUCCAGACAAAUAACAACACGAGAACAACGUCAAAGGAAUAUGUUAAUGACAAGAGACCAGGUCAUUUGUUUAUCGUUCAGACCAAUCCAUCAGAGUUUCCGUCCCUUCAACCGUCUCAGGUGCCAAUAUCAUCCGAUAUAGAAAAUGAUAAACAAUCGCCAACACACAAAAAAUAAGGUGGCGAAAAGGUGUGCAUUCCCGUCCGCCCGUGUAGUCCCGAAAAAAACAACACAAGUGGCUGAGCUCCUCAAGUCCAAGGCCACAUGAUCACGCAGACAAGUUACGUGUGGCUUUCUUCCCUGACAUUUCAGGAAUGUUUUCUUUUUUUUAAUUCCUUGGAAUGAUUCAAGAAGGGAAAACGAUGUGUGAAAAAACAAGUUUUCAUCCGUUGAAAAUUGGCUUUUUUUCCCUUACUAACUUUCAAAUUAAACUUUGAUUUUAAAAAAGAAAUAGAUUUCCGUUGGCUCCGUUCUUUAAAAAAAAACAAACCAUAAAUGCGAGAGAAUCCGCCCCCACACAACAAUACGAGAAUUUACGAUGGGCCCAUCUCUUUCCAGUAAUGCCGCUCUUCUUCCAAGGUUGAAUAAAUUAAAUGCUACUACGGAAAAGAAGAAAAUCACGUCUUUUGCCGGAAACUUCAAAAAGAGCACCGAUGGGUUCGUCGAGUUCGGAUUUGCCAGUAAAACUCACAAAACAAAACAGAACAAACUAUGCAGCAAAUUGCCCAAAGUGUUCCAGGCAACAGCAAAAAAAAAAUGUCAAGUAAACAAGAAAUCUGCACUAAUUCAAGGAUGAAGAAAUCAAAGGGAAAAAAAACGAGUUUCUCCAGAGAGAGAUAUAAAUGGGCAUGGAUACCAACUAAAGGUGAAAUAUACACCUGCACAUAUUACGCUAAAGAAAGCCAUUUUUACCUGGAUAUCUCUCGUGGAAAUUGGAUUGAUUGUUACUGCUGCCGCUGUGCUGAUAAUUGAAAUCGCGGUGUUGCCAGGCUAGUGGCGUGCGUGAAUCCAAGUCGACACGGUCGUUGGAACUGCUUUGACGGGAUCGUUCCCGCUCUCGUUCACGACGAUCCAUUCGUCGCUCCAUUCACGCAACGGCCCAAAUCUUUCCUUUCCGGACUGACACGUGAUUGCGCACUACAAUGUCUUGUUCUUCUUUUGGCGCAGCAGCAGAAACCAACACAUCCGCUCUCGACCGGAACUGCCGGACGUUGGGAAGGAGAAGAAAAAAACUGUUACUUUGUGUGAUGAUAGCCACACCACCACUCUUGGCUGAACGUAUCGAAACCGGUUGUGUGCGGUUUUUCUUCUUUCUCGUGCUGGCGAAAGAUAACGAGAAAAAAAUCUUUGACAUUAGCAGCACCACGAUAUUUCAAGAAAAAAAAAAAUUUUUUUAAAAUAAAAUAAUGGAGAGCUCCGUUCCGAUCCGCUUCAGAGUGUCGACUGGCUGUGGUGGCCCUGGUCGACUUCCUUCUCUUUGCUCCCCUCACCAAAAAAAGCUCAGCUAUUGCUCUCGCAUUUUCCCACCUUUCUUACCCAUUCUGUUAUUCCCACCAGGUAAGGAACUGUGGAAGACAUCCAAAAUGGCCGCCGUCUACCUAGUACUGCAUACAUUUUGUAUUUCUUUUCAAAGAAGAAGAAGAAGAAGAAGAAAACCUUCCCUCUGGCGGAAUUCAAGUCCCUACCCUUUUUGCCUGUUGGAGUCAUCGACCUGUAGAAAACAAAAGACAAUCACGCGGUUCCCAGUACACACAAUGUCGCAGCCAACAAUUCCGGGAUCUGGGUGAUGGUAAUAAAUACAUUUUUCAUUGGUUUUAGCGAACGAAAAACAAUUGGAUGCCGCUGCGCGAUGAAGUCAGGUGACAUAAUGUUGCGCUUUUUCUUUUUUUUU